RNAcentral lists this ribosomal RNA (513 nucleotides) under Triticum aestivum (bread wheat). RNAcentral describes it as "partial small subunit ribosomal RNA". The record is from RNAcentral. Lineage: Eukaryota; Viridiplantae; Streptophyta; Magnoliopsida; Poales; Poaceae.
AUGCAGCGUCGGACCAGCGGAUCCACGCUGCUCCUCCACCUCCCGACCAAUGCCCCCGGCCCGUCCUGCUGCUCACCUCCUCCUCGCAUAUGCAUCAACAAAAGAUGGCAGCCGCUGCAGUCCACAUCGUUCAACACUAGCAGGUCAACUCCUCCAAGGUCACAUGAGCUCGCCGCCAAAAGCGCACAGUCUAUUGAGCCAGAGAUGGCACUGGACGCCGCCGCGGCUGGUCAGCUGGAUCGGAGCCACCAACCCACGUCCGCACAGAGGGGGCUGGUAGCAGCCUUGUUGAUGGGGAUUGGGCACUAUCUGCAGCUACAGGUGGCAUCGACCUGCAGCUGCAGGGAGCGUCGACUUGCAGCUGGAGGAGGUGUUGACUUAAAGCUCGCCACGCACGGCACUACGACCUACUGCCACAACGGUCCACCACCUACAGCCGGCGUCGCAGCGCCUCGGCCGUUCAACUAUGCCACCUCGGGUCGUUCAACUCCACCCGGUGCUCGUCGUGGAUGA